Molecule: ribosomal RNA, 506 nt
Filed under: uncultured bacterium
Lineage: Bacteria
Description: partial 16S ribosomal RNA
Rfam family: Bacterial small subunit ribosomal RNA
Source: RNAcentral
AUUGAACGCUGGCGGCAGGCCUAACACAUGCAAGUCGAACGGCAGCACAGAAGAGCUUGCUCUUUGGGUGGCGAGUGGCGGACGGGUGAGUAAUGUCUGGGAAACUGCCCGAUGGAGGGGGAUAACUACUGGAAACGGUAGCUAAUACCGCAUAACGUCGCAAGACCAAAGUGGGGGACCUUCGGGCCUCACACCAUCGGAUGUGCCCAGAUGGGACUAGCUAGUAGGUGGGGUAAUGGCUCACCUAGGCGACGAUCCCUAGCUGGUCUGAGAGGAUGACCAGCCACACUGGAACUGAGACACGGUCCAGACUCCUACGGGAGGCAGCAGUGGGGAAUAUUGCACAAUGGGCGCAAGCCUGAUGCAGCCAUGCCGCGUGUAUGAAGAAGGCCUUCGGGUUGUAAAGUACUUUCAGCGGGGAGGAAGGCGGUGAGGUUAAUAACCUUGCCGAUUGACGUUACCCGCAGAAGAAGCACCGGCUAACUCCGUGCCAGCCGCCGCAGUAA